CACUGGUCCGAGUGCAGUGGUGUUUGCAACUAAUUGAUCACAGCGUUACAGACUUUGUUUCUUCUCCAUUGCCACUGCUUCAUUUGACUAGCCUUUA
Molecule: unclassified non-coding RNA, 97 nt
Organism: Chlorocebus sabaeus (green monkey)
Lineage: Eukaryota; Metazoa; Chordata; Mammalia; Primates; Cercopithecidae
Rfam family: Y RNA
About the family: Y RNAs are components of the Ro ribonucleoprotein particle (Ro RNP), in association with Ro60 and La proteins. The Y RNAs and Ro60 and La proteins are well conserved, but the function of the Ro RNP is not known. In humans the RNA component can be one of four small RNAs -- hY1, hY3, hY4 and hY5.
Source: Ensembl